RNAcentral lists this long non-coding RNA (230 nucleotides) under Olea europaea (common olive). Its description in RNAcentral is "long non-coding RNA (OEUR_LNC003210)". Lineage: Eukaryota; Viridiplantae; Streptophyta; Magnoliopsida; Lamiales; Oleaceae. The record is from RNAcentral.
UUUAAAGAUGAAAACCUUCACCUAGUGCUUCAAAGCAAACCCCAAUGGUUCAAUCCUAUACAACAUGAACAAACAUAAAAACCAAAAAAACUUAAUACAAAAGCUUUACAAUAUAAUCAUGAAAAUAGAUUAACAGUUCAUUUAACACCAAAAGGUAACAACAGUCAAAUUGAUCUAAUCAAGAUGAAUAAAUGUCAUAAUCCUUACACUUCUAUUUCAGAAUAAUCGGU